This 83-nucleotide transfer RNA is filed under the name Rhodocollybia butyracea. It matches the Rfam family "tRNA". Rfam says of the family: Transfer RNA (tRNA) molecules are approximately 80 nucleotides in length. Their secondary structure includes four short double-helical elements and three loops (D, anti-codon, and T loops). Lineage: Eukaryota; Fungi; Basidiomycota; Agaricomycetes; Agaricales; Omphalotaceae. The record is from Rfam by way of RNAcentral.
GGGCACAUGGUGUAGUUGGUUAUCACAUCCGCUUAGCAAUCAUGCAAAUGCGGGGGUGCUGGGUUCAAUUCCCAGUGUGUCCA